GAGGGUAGAACUCAGUGGUAGAGUGCAUGCUUAGUAUGCACAAGGUCCUAGGUUCAAUCUCCAGUACCUCCA
This 72-nucleotide transfer RNA is filed under the name Camelus bactrianus (Bactrian camel). It matches the Rfam family "tRNA". Rfam says of the family: Transfer RNA (tRNA) molecules are approximately 80 nucleotides in length. Lineage: Eukaryota; Metazoa; Chordata; Mammalia; Artiodactyla; Camelidae. The record is from Rfam by way of RNAcentral. RNAcentral also lists the same sequence under 1 other name.